RNAcentral lists this ribosomal RNA (460 nucleotides) under uncultured bacterium. RNAcentral describes it as "partial 16S ribosomal RNA". It matches the Rfam family "Bacterial small subunit ribosomal RNA", at positions 338 to 795 of the family's 1533-position model. The record is from RNAcentral.
CCUACGGGUGGCAGCAGUGAGGAAUAUUGGUCAAUGGACGCAAGUCUGAACCAGCCAUGCCGCGUGCAGGAAGACGGCUCUAUGAGUUGUAAACUGCUUUUGUACGAGGGUAAACGCAGAUACGCGUAUCUGUCUGAAAGUAUCGUACGAAUAAGGAUCGGCUAACUCCGUGCCAGCAGCCGCGGUAAUACGGAGGAUUCAAGCGUUAUCCGGAUUUAUUGGGUUUAAAGGGUGCGUAGGCGGUCGGAUAAGUUAGAGGUGAAAUCCCGAGGCUCAACUUCGGAAUUGCCUCUGAUACUGUUCGGCUAGAGAGUAGUUGCGGUAGGCGGAAUGUAUGGUGUAGCUGUGAAAUGCUUAGAGAUCAUACAGAACACCGAUUGCGAAGGCAGCUUACCAAGCUACUUCUGACGUUGAGGCACGAAAGCGUGGGGAGCAAACAGGAUUAGAUACCCUUGUAGUC